GUAAACUCCACACAGGCGGGACCGGUGAACCCGAGACCUCACCAGCUGAUCUACAGCGCCGCCCUAGUAAUAAAAGUGAAUGCUAAAAACAUUAAGAAUAUACACUAUCGCUCCGUUCAAGUACAGUGCUCGAUAGAGAUGAGUCUACUUUGAUCUGUUUAAAGGCCCCGUGACAAACCUGAGAAUGAGGGCCUCUUCGUUUUUCUAUGACUCGGUAUGUUCGUUUGCCCGGGAGCCCUUUUUUCCUUCAAGUGGGGUCUCCGUGGAGUUAAAGCCGCCGACCCCCGAG
Molecule: long non-coding RNA, 289 nt
Organism: Syngnathoides biaculeatus (alligator pipefish)
Lineage: Eukaryota; Metazoa; Chordata; Actinopteri; Syngnathiformes; Syngnathidae
Exons: 3
Source: RefSeq, a predicted model, not a curated record